This 4611-nucleotide long non-coding RNA is filed under the name Olea europaea subsp. europaea. Lineage: Eukaryota; Viridiplantae; Streptophyta; Magnoliopsida; Lamiales; Oleaceae. The record is from RNAcentral.
CUCAUCUCUACGUUAAAAUAUCUCUCUCUCUUCUCUCUACCCACUUACAAAUCACUACCCUCUCUCUCAUCAAUUCAACCGAGCCGGGAGGAAGAACUCGACGACUCUCUGCUUCCAGAUCUGGGUAAUCAUUCCAAGAAUCUGGGUUUAUGGUAUUUUCUCGAUGACUUUGACAAUCACCGCCUCCUAAAACUCACCGACUUAUGAAGUUUUCGAUUUCCACAAGGAUUGUACCGCGAAUUUGACCGUUCAGAUCAAUACGGUAAGUUUAUCUAGCCGUUUAUAUCCCCUCUAAUUGUCUAUAAAUUGGAUCGCCUAGCCUUGUUCAUCAAUCAUUAGGAAGCCGGUGGUCCGGGUUGGUAUUAUUUUUCGGUGUUGCUUUUGUUAUUGGUGGUCGUGUGUCAUUGAUUUCAAUUAUUGGAUUGAGCAUAGGAAAUUCGAUGGUACAUAUACAAGAUGUAAGAAGGCCAAGCAAGCACAUGGUGGGGAAAGCCAACAACUUGACAGCAGGGCUCAAUAGGAGUCUCUAGAAGGAUGCUGAGUCAGUAAAAUUGUUAGGGACUAUUAGUUAGUUUGUUAGAGUUACUUGGGGGAAGGGUAUAAAUAAAACAUGUAAGGAGAGGGGAGGGGAUGUGAAAGAAAUCAAGUAAGAAUUAGGGGAAUGGAGAAUCGUAAUUUCCAUUAAGUUCUCAUUUACAGUACUUAUUUCAUUUUGAAUCUAUAUUACAGAAAAUUUCCCCAAAAUUCCUCAUUCUCAGUAUUCUCUUCUCUAUUGCAGUGAGCCUUAAUAUUGUCUAUCUGGGAAAGAUUUCUAUCCGCUGCUUAAUUUCAAAACUUCACUCUAUCUUACUCCCAGUAUGGUGAAUAAACUAUUGUUGGUCCCUAGUGAAUUUGAUUCUUGAAGUGCACAGACUCCUAAGUGGAGAUUUAGUCCACUAUCAGAUUUUCACAACUACUCAAUAUUUGAUAAGUAUUCAUUUGUGUUUUGAAUGUGGAAUUUUCUUUAAAGGAGAUGAUAACUAAUUAGCAGUCUACCUUUAUAUCUAGUAUGAAAGUAUCUUUUUGUGCUGUGAUGGUUGAUUUUUAAAUGAAGUGGUUCAUCAUGGUAUUGGAGUAAGCAAAUUCCUUGGGAUCAAGUUUUGCUAUCACUAUUUAUUGAACUUGUGCACAUACGAGGCUUUUGACAAAAAAUGAAUUCAUUUUGUGUGAGUGAGGGCAUGUUCAAGACUAGAUUUAAGUGAAUAAACGUGUCACUCUUUAACGACGUUGACAUAUUUUAAGGCAGAUUGUAUCAUUUCUAGUUUAUAAUCAUCUCACUGUAUUGAAGACAGUUAUUUUAUUGCUUAGAGUUUAUUGUACCAAAUAUUAAUCUUUGAUUAGAGAGAUAGUUGAAGAUUUAGAAGUAGCUUAACAAUUUAUGUCCUUGGGUUUAUGUUCUUGAUUCUAUUAAUUGGGGGAUUACUGUGGUGCGAAUGAGUUAGGGAAGCAUGAAACUGAAAAAAAUGAUUUUAAGAAUUCUAAUAUAACCAGUUGACAUUAUGCUUGGAAGGUCAUGCAAUGAAUUUCUAUUAUGAUGUAGCUACAGUUAACUUUUUAUUCUAUAAUGCUUUUAUGUUAUUCUUUCUAAACAAAUUUUUAUUAAUUUUUAUUUAACGUGGUAGUUUAUAACAUGGCUACAACAACGAAUCAACGUCGAUGCCGACGACAACAUUUAGGUAUAUUUUGGACGAUGGUCAUGCAAGCGAUUGUGAUGUAUAACGAACUUAGGCGUCAUGCACGACAUCUUCCAAGAGCUCCUCAUACAAAUUGGAAUUCUGAAAGAGAAAUAACACUUACACGAAUGUUUAGUAUGAGUGAUACAAUAUGUCGUGAUCUCCUUAGGAUGAAAAUAGGUCCAUUUCAAAGAUUAUGUGCUCGUUUGCAAACUUAUGGAUUGGUUGACGGUAAAUACGUUUGAAUUGAGGAACAAGUCGCAAUUUUUCUGAAUACAGUCGGGCAUGACCAACGUAAUCGCGCUAGACAUUUUACUUUCUUUCGCUCUGGUCAAACAGUGAGCUUUUACUUUCACAGAGUCUUACACACUUGUCUUGGACUGUAUAGAGAUGUUGUGAUUAAUGCCACUCUUCAUAACUCACCAUACGAAAAAGAAAAUGUGCAACCAUGGUACUCCUUUUUUUAGGUUAGUGGUUUGUAGUUAUUUCAUCACAUUUCUUAAAACUUCAAUAUUUACAUUCAUUUUGAAAAGUAUUGUUUUUUAAAGGAUGCCGUAGGAGCAAUCGAUGGUACACAUAUAGCUGCGUAUGUGCCUUUAGAGAAACAAGGUAAAUAUCGCAAUAGAAAGCAAGUGAUUUCCCAAAAUGUUUUCGUAGCUUGUACAUUUGAUAUGAAAUUUACGUACGUGCUUGCCGGUUGGGAGGGAUCUGCACAUGACGGUCGAUUGUUACGGAGUGCAAUAUUACGCCAAGGACAUAAGCUAACAAUUCCUAUUGGUAAGUUGUGUCACUAUUUUGAAAACAUUUCUUCCACACAUAAGUUAUAAUUACCUAACUAUCAUCUUAUGAACGACUCUUUCUUAUGUAAUUAUUACCUUGUUGACGCUGGCUUCCCAUCGGUUUCGGGUUUUCUUGCACCAUAUUGUAUGACUCGUUAUCAUCGUAGAGACAUUGAAGGUCAACGUCCUGAAAGUAGUAAGGAAUUGUUCAAUUUUCGAUAUUCAUCUCUACACAAUGUUAUUGAGCGUACAAUUGGUUUGCUGAAAAAAAGAUUUGCAUAUUUGAGACAUCCACCCUAUCACGACAUUGACGCACAAGAAAGAUAGUCCUUGCCUAUUCUGUCAUCCACAACUUCUUAAAGAUUGAUGACGUUGAUGUUUGUGAGGAGGACGACUUAUAUAGUAGUGAUGAUGAGGUUAACCCUACGCAUAUUGAUGUACCGGAAGAUGAAACUCCAAAUGCUCACAUAUCUUUCACAAAUCAGGAAGUGUGGUCUAAUAAGAGGAAUGCGAUUGCUGAUUUAAUGUGGGCUGAUUAUCUUCCCAAUCAGAAUGCGGGAAUUGAUUUUGAUUGAAAUCUGAUUUUUUUUUCUUGUUUUUUAUUUUUUAUUUGUUAUUCGUUUCUAUGUAAUGGAUAUAAAUUUACUAGACUUUCAUAAGUAGUAAUUGCUUGAAUUGAAGAUGUAUUGACAUUAAACAGAUUUUUUAUUUUUUCCCCCAUGUCCUAUAAUAGUUGACAUAAGAUUGCUAGAAUUUUAAAUAUUGUAAUUGGAAUUGUUGUUAUUGGAGACAUUGUUGACAUGCAAUUUUCUUAAAUGUUCUUAUUUAUUGGUUGACCAUAAACAGUUAAUCUUGCACUAUACAUGGCAAAUAUUUGAUAAAGCUCUGCGGCACCUUUUCGAGUUCCUAGACCAACCCUUCAUUCAGAUGUGGAGGAAAUAAGCUCAACCCAAGCGGAUCCUAAUUCUAGGAAUCGUCAAAUACGUUGGAGUGAUGCAAUGGACGAUUGUAUGAUAACUGCACUACUACAUCAAGUGUUGUCUAGUCACAAAAGAAGUGACAAUGGCUUUUCAUCGUAUCACGUGUCCAAAGCAAUCGAGAACGUGCACAAUGGAUGCGGAGUCAUGGUGUCUGAUAAGAAUGUGAGGGCGCGAUUGAAAACUCUGAAAAAAGAAUAUGUUGAAGUUCGUCAGUUGUUAAGCAUGAGUGGUAUUGGAUUAGAUCCUCACACUGGACGUGUCAUAGCCGAUGUACUAGCUUGGGAGGAGUUGUUGAAGGUACAAAAUUUCAUUGACCAAUGAAAGUAUAAUUCCUUAAAUAUUACUAAUCUAAUUUAUUUUGCCCACUAACUAGCGUAAAACAUAUUUCACUCUUUUUCUUGUACGGCAACCAGAAUUUGGAAAGUGGACCAAACUUUGUUCUCGUUAUGAUGAUUUGGAGGCUAUCUUUGGAAAUGAUUCUGCUACAGGAGAUCGUGCUGUCACCGGCAAUGACAUUUUAUCCCCCGAUCAUGGUACGUACUAGAUCGUACAUAAAAAUUUAUAUAAUUAGUAUUAUAUUAAAGAUUCUAUCAAAUUCUUAUUUUAUUAUUUUUUUAGAUGAAAAUGUGCAUGAAGUUGAUGGUCAAAAUAAGGAUACGGAUCCAAGCCUCAUUCGCGCUCCUAAGCGUAAUGCCGAAGGAGGAACUAACAAAGUUCGCUGUCGACGUACCCAACCUAAUGAUGAGAGUCUCGUUGCCCUAUCAAGCAUUGCCAAAUCAUCUAAAAAAAUUGCUAUUGCUAUGGAGACUUGAGCAACAUUAGAUACGCUAAACCAUAUCAAUUGGCAGCUGGUUCUAGAAAAAUUACAAGAUACGAGUAUAGAAAAACGUGACAUAAUGCAAGUAAUGAAAAAUAUUUCGAUUGGGUGAGAGUCUGGCUAGAGUAUUUAUGAGUUUGACUGAUGGAGAAUUCAUGCGUGAUUUAGUAUUUGAGAAUCUGGGCGGUGAUCCGCCUCCACUAUUUUAAGAUGACUUGCUUGGAUAAUUUAACCAACAUAUGUAAAAGUAUGACAUUUAUGUUGAUUUUAUUUGCUAUUUUCUUAUGAUACAGAUUUUUAGGGUUUUUUCAUUUUCAUUUUAU